UGUGACAUAAACUUGAAAAGUGAGAGUCCCAACAAAAAAAUUGUGUGAAACUAUCUUUGAAUACUUCUUACAUUAAGAAAGGUAUGUGUUUAUUUAUUCAUGUUUUUUAUAUUUUUUUAGUCCAUGCUCUUGAAUAAUCUAAGAUUAGGAUCUUGUUCUCUUUAUACUUUUUGGCUAUCAUCUUUCGGUAAAAUUUCUUUUGUUCACUAGUUAGAUAUAUGUGUUUCCACAAUUUUCUAUUAAACUUGUUUCUGAGUAAUAAUUUCUCUAUUACCAAGUUUUUUCUGAUCUAAAGUAAUUUUGAUUUGAUUUCAAUUUUUUUAAGAUUUUUCAUUGAAAAAGACUUAUUUUAUACUCUAUUUAUUUACACUUAAUUCUCUUGUUCCGUAAUAUUAUCAUAAUUUUAAGUUAUAAUAAUAUUAUAUCAACACUAACAAUUCUUUAAAUGUUCAAAAUUGAAUUUUAAUAAUAAUUUUGUUUAACCAGGUGCUAGAUGUUUGAAGAUAGAUUGAGAAGUUUUGCAUGCAAGAUGCACGAAGUGAGACCAAAAGUGAAAAUGAAGUCAAUUUUCAAUCAUGAAGGAUCAAGAGUCCCAAAGACGCAACAACAAAACUCAAUAGCCUACAAAGAUGCAACAACUAAACUCACAUACCUUAGUUAAGGUGGUGUGAGUAAUAUAAAAAGGUUUUAUAGUAUACCUCAAAGUACAAUAGUGUUAAACAUGAUAUAGAAGAUAAUUAUGUAAUUAUUUUCUAUAUAAUUGUUUAACCUUACUUUUACUUUGAGGAGGUUUUUUCUAUAAAAUAUAUUAUAUAAGAAUAUAAAUUUAUAUAGUUUACAUUUUUUUAUAAAUAAUUAAUUUUAAAAUAAAACUAUUUUAUAUUUAUAAAAAAAAUAUUAUGUUAUUAUAAUUAGUAAUUAGGUUGACAAAUUGCAGGGUCGAAGAACUAAUUCAUUUGAAUAACCACCAUUUGGUUAGAAGAUGAAUUUGUUGCAUUGAACAACCUUAGAGUGCUACACAUAUUUAACAAGUUUAUAUUUUGUUGUAGUAACUAUUAAUGGUUGACCGUCUCGAAACCUUUGUCUCAAAUCACUGUAAUUUUUUUUCAACAGAAAAAGAAUAAAAUUAAAUGGAGUACUUUAUAGGUGUUUCAACCUUUAUACAAAAAAUAAAAUCCUUGAAAAAAUAUAUAUCAAGCCUUUAAAUGAUAAGGUCCAAAAAACUACAUAAAAACCAGUCUAUUAUUAACCAAAAUACAUCAAUUUUGAUUCUAUGGAUAUAUAUGAACCUUUAGUAUAUAUCUCAAUUUAUAAUUUUGAGAGUGAGAUUCAAUUUUUUAUAUUUUGUGGAUAUAUAUUAUCCUAAAGGUGAAAAGUGAAUGGUCGCAUAUGUUUAUUUUCAAUUAUUUAUUUACUUGGACAUAUAAAACUUUAGAUGAGUUUUAGUCUAUAUCUUUUGCCAUGACAACAAAUUUAUUGAGAGGUUGUAUGUUGUUACAUGGUAUAUUAUUUUCUUGUAUUAACCUUUUUCAUAUAUAAAAGGAAAAAGGAAAGCUAAUGUAAAAUGUAUUACUUUUGUGUAAUGUAAUGUGUU
RNAcentral lists this long non-coding RNA (1594 nucleotides) under Phaseolus vulgaris (common bean). RNAcentral describes it as "long non-coding RNA (PVUL_LNC003600)". The record is from RNAcentral. Lineage: Eukaryota; Viridiplantae; Streptophyta; Magnoliopsida; Fabales; Fabaceae.